AUGUCAAACAAAACACGACCUUGGAGGAAAGCUGGGAAGGCCUUUCUCUGCUGUUUAAAACAUCUGACACGGCCAGGAGACACCGAGCUAGACGCGAGGCCACAGCGAGUCCAGAGAAAACGGCAGGAGCAGGAGGGAAGCCGUGCGCCGAUGCAGCUUUUAAUGAAAUUCAUCCACGUUGGCCUUCGUUUCCGCAGGGACGAUCUGCGUCUUCGGCAUGCAAACGUCGCUCCCCUAAUCGGCCUUUCUACGGCGCUCGAAGAGGGUAUUUGGAAACGGGAAACCUGGUCCUACAGCUCAGGGUCAUCCUGGGCGUUUGGACGACCGGCAGAGUGAUUACACCAAUUAAAUCCGGACAAGCAGCAAGCCUGCCUAUGUAGACUAAAGAAUUUGCUGAAGGUCGCAUAACCUGAGGCCAAGCUGGAUCUCGUGACUCCCAGUCUGGUGCUUUAAUCGCAGACCGUUCCUGCUUUUCAUGCU
This 480-nucleotide long non-coding RNA is filed under the name Struthio camelus australis. RNAcentral's name for it is "lncRNA (ENSSCUG00000004263.1)". Lineage: Eukaryota; Metazoa; Chordata; Aves; Struthioniformes; Struthionidae. The record is from RNAcentral.